RNAcentral lists this ribosomal RNA (1344 nucleotides) under uncultured bacterium. Its description in RNAcentral is "bacterial SSU rRNA". It matches the Rfam family "Bacterial small subunit ribosomal RNA", at positions 28 to 1381 of the family's 1533-position model. The record is from RNAcentral.
GAUGGACGCUGGCGGCGUGCUUAACACAUGCAAGUCGAACGAUGAAGCCCAGCUUGCUGGGUGGAUUAGUGGCGAACGGGUGAGUAACACGUGAGUAACCUGCCCUUAACUCUGGGAUAAGCCUGGGAAACUAGGUCUAAUACCGGAUAGGAGCGCCUACCGCAUGGUGGGUGUUGGAAAGAUUUAUCGGUUUUGGAUGGACUCGCGGCCUAUCAGCUUGUUGGUGAGGUAAUGGCUCACCAAGGCGACGACGGGUAGCCGGCCUGAGAGGGUGACCGGCCACACUGGGACUGAGACACGGCCCAGACUCCUACGGGAGGCAGCAGUGGGGAAUAUUGCACAAUGGGCGAAAGCCUGAUGCAGCGACGCCGCGUGAGGGAUGACGGCCUUCGGGUUGUAAACCUCUUUCAGUAGGGAAGAAGCGAAAGUGACGGUACCUGCAGAAGAAGCACCGGCUAACUACGUGCCGGCAGCCGCGGUAAUACGUAGGGUGCGAGCGUUAUCCGGAAUUAUUGGGCGUAAAGAGCUCGUAGGCGGUUUGUCGCGUCUGUCGUGAAAGUCCGGGGCUUAACCCCGGAUCUGCGGUGGGUACGGGCAGACUAGAGUGCAGUACGGGAGACUGGAAUUCCUGGUGUAGCGGUGGAAUGCGCAGAUAUCAGGAGGAACACCGAUGGCGAAGGCAGGUCUCUGGGCUGUAACUGACGCUGAAGAGCGAAAGCAUGGGGAGCGAACAGGAUUAGAUACCCUGGUAGUCCAUGCCGUAAACGUUGGGCACUAGGUGUGGGGACCAUUCCACGGUUUCCGCGCCGCAGCUAACGCAUUAAGUGCCCCGCCUGGGGAGUACGGCCGCAAGGCUAAAACUCAAAGGAAUUGGCGGGGGCCCGCACAAGCGGCGGAGCAUGCGGAUUAAUUCGAUGCAACGCGAAGAACCUUACCAAGGCUUGACAUGUUCUCGAUCGCCGUAGAGAUACGGUUUCCCCUUUGGGGCGGGUUCACAGGUGGUGCAUGGUUGUCGUCAGCUCGUGUCGAGAGAUGUUGGGUUAACUCCCGCAACGAGCGCAACCCUCGUUCCAUGUUGCCAGCACGUAAUGGUGGGGACUCAUGGGAGACUGCCGGGGUCAACUCGGAGGAAGGUGAGGACGACGUCAAAUCAUCAUGCCCCUUAUGUCUUGGGCUUCACGCAUGCUACAAUGGCCGGAACAAUGGGUUGCUAUACUGUGAGGUGGAACUAAUCCCAAAAAGCCGGUCUCAGUUCGGAUUGGGGUCUGCAACUCCGACCCCAUGAAGUCGGAGUCGCUAGUAAUCGCAAAUCACCACCGCUGCGGUGAAUACAUUCCCGGGCCU